RNAcentral lists this long non-coding RNA (763 nucleotides) under Manihot esculenta (cassava). RNAcentral describes it as "long non-coding RNA (MESC_LNC010158)". The record is from RNAcentral. Lineage: Eukaryota; Viridiplantae; Streptophyta; Magnoliopsida; Malpighiales; Euphorbiaceae.
UUUUUGAUACUAUUCAUUUGGGUUACCCAUAAAGAGUAACUUUUGGAGUAACUUUUGGAGACUUAGGGCUCUGUUUAUUUGGAUUACCCAUAAAAGAGUAACAUUUGGAGACUUAGGGCUCUGUUCAUUUGGGUUACUCAUAAAGGGUAACAUUUGGAGACUUAGGGCUCUGUUCAUUUGGGUUACUCAUAAAGGGUAACAUUUGGAGACUUAGGGCUCUGUUCAUUUGGGUUACUCAUAAAGAAUAACAUUUGGAGACGUAGCGCUCUGUUCAUUUGGGUUACUCAUAAAGAGUAACAUUUGGAUCUGUUCAUUUGGGUUACUCAUAAAGAGUAACAUUUGGAGACUUAGGGCUCUGUUCAUUUGGGUUAUUCACAAAGGGUAACAUUUAGAGACUUAGGGCUCUGUUCAUUUGGGUUACUCACGUAGGGCUCUAUUCAUUUGGGUUACUCAUAAAGGGUAACAUUUGGAGACUUCAGGCUCUAUUCAUUUGGGUUACUCAUAAAGGGUAACAUUUGGAGACUUAGGUCUAUAUUCAUUUGGGUUAUCCAUAAAGGGUAACACUUGGAGAUUUAGGCCUCUGUUCAUCAGGUAUUGUUCACGGGAAUUAUUCAUCGGGUACUGUUCACGAGUACUGUUCAUCGGGGGUACUGUUCACGCAUACUGUUCUUCGGGUACUGUUCACGAGUACUGUUCAUAGGGUACUGUUCACGAAUUCGAAAUUCUAUUCACUGUAAGGCGUUUUACCAAGCUGAGAAAAUAU